This is a long non-coding RNA of Leopardus geoffroyi (Geoffroy's cat), 764 nucleotides long. RefSeq lists it as uncharacterized. The transcript is spliced from 3 exons. Lineage: Eukaryota; Metazoa; Chordata; Mammalia; Carnivora; Felidae. The record is from RefSeq and is a predicted model, not a curated record.
AGGCGGGAUCUUUGGGGGCCCUAACAGUGCCAGUUCUAAAACUAAACAACUGUCUCUUUCAGCAUCUGCUGUUCAGAGAGGUCUCUUCUCGCACUGCCCGAGCAACCAAGAUUUUAAUUUGACCGUGGUUAAAUGACCCAUUUGGACCAGGCCAGCCAGGCAGGAUGAGAGAGCGCCAUGGGGGUUCUGAAAGUACCCUCAAGAACCCUGGGAAGUGCCCCCCCCCCCACAUCUGAGGCCACCUUUGACCUUCCAAAUGAUGAAGACUUAUUGCUGAGCUGCAUCUUGAGAGGCACAGACAGAAGACCAGAGACAUCCGCUCCCCAAGUUUUCUCCCCCACUGAACAGGACUGACGUGUAACAAAUAGGAUAUUGUACAAAUGAGAGUGUGAGUUGCAAGGUUAAGUCCUAACACUGCAGUUUCCAACUUGUCCUCUCUUGGAUCACCCAUUCUGGGGGAAGCCUGUUCCCAUGUCCUAAAGACACUCAAGCAGCCCUAUUGGAGAGAGGUCCAUCUGGUGAAAGAACUAAGGCCACCUGCCAACAACCAGUACCAACUUGCGAGAUGGGCAGGUGAACCACCUUGGAAAGUAAAUCUUCCAGUCCCAAUGAAGCAUUCAGGGAACUGCAGCCUCAGUCAACAUCUUGACUACAACCUUAUAUGAGAAAUCCAGAGACAGAAUUAUGCCAGCUAAACCACCACCGAAUUCCUGACCCUCAGAAACUUCCUGAAGUAAUACACAUAUAUUAUUUUAAACCACAAA